RNAcentral lists this long non-coding RNA (1437 nucleotides) under Cyanistes caeruleus (blue tit). RNAcentral's name for it is "lncRNA (ENSCCEG00000024073.1)". The record is from RNAcentral. Lineage: Eukaryota; Metazoa; Chordata; Aves; Passeriformes; Paridae.
UUUGUACCAGGGGGCCCAGGGCUGCACAGAGUGCUCCAUGUGCUCAAACUUCUCUAUUCUUCAGCACACAGCAAUGUGUCCUUUGGGUUUUCUGAGCUGUAUAUCAUGUCCUGGUGCUUGAAAUCACAGAACCAGCUGAAUGCCAUUGUAAACUUGAAAAGAGCUACAAGGAGACUUAAUUUGAAAACAUAAAGGUCACUGAAGGCCUGACAAAUGGGAUGCCUUUGGCAAAAAUAUACUCGCUGACUUGAGCACCACCUCUGAAAAUGGAAACAAACCAAUGUGCUGAUACUGCAGAGCUGCUGAUUGACUGGAGCCCCUUUGUUCACACAGAAAUCACCCACGUGCUGAAAUUCACUGAUUUUCCAUUGAAUCUACAUCAGCUUCGUUCCUGCAGCCAUACUCACCCUGAGAGUCCCUCACACCUUCUUUGAAAACGAGUACCUGAAUGUGGAUAAAGUUGGUGAAAUUUUUCCCCACCAGAAAAGUGUCUUGACUUCAAAUAUCCUUAAUUUUACAAGUGUAGGGAAUACAGUAUCCAUAUGGGGUCAAUAUAAACUCCCCAUCAGGAGCUGAUCACAUUUGAAAGCGUGGGGAAAUGAAAAUAUCCAGAUACUGCUCAUGGCCCUUGUUAAACACAGCAUGGUAAAUCAGGGUGUUUAGGAAUGCAAAUUCUACUCCAGUUUGCUUUCCUAUGGAAAAGCCAAGGUUAUGGCUAAGGUGCUAGCACAGAGUAAAGAAAUCUGACAGUAGAAGGCUUCUUGCUCUUGCAAAAGGAGAUGAAAGGUGGAUGUGCAGGGGCAGAUGGAGUGAGUUCAGCCAGAAAUAUGAUUUAGUUUCCUAGAUCUGAGGGAAAUUAAACAUGGAAACAGCUCCUCUCAGGAGGCAAGGAGAUCCUCAAGUGUUGUGUGUGUACUUUUCAGCCCAAGAUUAAAUGUCUUUUCAAAAGACAGACUUUAAUUACACAUCUUGGAAGAGCUCUGUGGAUUGUAUUUACAGAACACUUGCUAAUCACCAUGUUUUGAGAAUAUAAACUCCCCAUUUCUACAGUCUCACUUAAAAAUAAUCCAAUCAUUAAAUAUAGGCACUGAAUGGAGGGACAAAAGGGAGGUGACAUCAAUAAGAAAGGCAAAAAUGUGUCUCAAUAACUUAAGUUUGCCUGGAUGCAUGAUAUUUUGGAAAGCUGCUCUUGGAAACCCAUCCUGGAGAGGCAAAAGUUGUCCUGAGGAGUCCCUGUCCUGUGAACCCUGGGCUUAAGUCAUGCUUUUGAGGGUAAAAAGGGUCUCAUCACCCAUGUGAAGCUCAAGAUGUGUGAAAGUGUUUGCAAAACUGGGACACAAGCAGAGAUUAUUUUAAUAUGAAAGGGAAGGGGAGGAUACAGGAACUGUUCUCUUUUACAAAUUGGGGCAAAUAAAGUGGCUCUGCUAUCAUUGUUCA